UACGUAGGGGGGCAAGCGUUGUCCGGAAUUAUUGGGCGUAAAGAGCGUGUAGGCGGCCAGAUAAGUCCGCUGUGAAAUCUCGAGGCUCAACUUCGAGCUGUCGGUGGAAACUGUCUGGCUAGAGUCCGGAAGAGGAGAAUGGAAUUCCUGGUGUAGCGGUGAAAUGCGCAGAUAUCAGGAAGAACACCCGUGGCGAAGGCGGUUCUCUGGGACGGUACUGACGCUGAGACGCGAAAGCGUGGGGAGCGAACAGG
This 254-nucleotide ribosomal RNA is filed under the name uncultured bacterium. RNAcentral describes it as "partial 16S ribosomal RNA". It matches the Rfam family "Bacterial small subunit ribosomal RNA", at positions 524 to 776 of the family's 1533-position model. The record is from RNAcentral.